Biomphalaria pfeifferi is the source of this 257-nucleotide non-coding RNA. NCBI's taxonomy places the organism in Eukaryota, Metazoa, Mollusca, Gastropoda, Planorbidae. The record is from the annotation of a GenBank genome assembly.
GUUUUAAAAUCCAGAAUUUAUUCACUACUAAUUGUUACUUGACACUAAAAGAGAAAAAAAGCGAAAAUAAUAUACAAAUCUGCACAAAAUGAAGUUUAAAUUGACCCCUUCAUAAAGGAAUAAAUUAAACCACACACUAAGGAUUACAUUUUUUAAACUGAACUACAUCAAGUAAGUGGAAUAGUUAAACAAUGACAAAACAACAAUGUAUGGAUCUGUAGGAGAGACUGAAUAACAUUCAUGGCUUUAAAGUCAUU